UACGGGGGGGAGCAAGCGUUGUUCGGAUUUACUGGGCGUAAAGCGCACGUAGGCGGCCUGAUAAGUCGGGUGUGAAAGCCCUGGGCUCAACCCAGGAAGUGCACUCGAAACUGUCAGGCUUGAAUAUGGAAGAGGGUCGCGGAAUUCCCGGUGUAGAGGUGAAAUUCGUAGAUAUCGGGAGGAACACCAGUGGCGAAGGCGGCGACCUGGGCCAAUAUUGACGCUGAGGUGCGAAAGCGUGGGGAGCAAACAGG
This 254-nucleotide ribosomal RNA is filed under the name uncultured bacterium. Its description in RNAcentral is "partial 16S ribosomal RNA". It matches the Rfam family "Bacterial small subunit ribosomal RNA", at positions 524 to 776 of the family's 1533-position model. The record is from RNAcentral.